RNAcentral lists this RNase P RNA (344 nucleotides) under Acholeplasmataceae bacterium. RNAcentral describes it as "RNase P RNA component class B". It matches the Rfam family "Bacterial RNase P class B". From Rfam's summary of the family: Ribonuclease P (RNase P) is a ubiquitous endoribonuclease, found in archaea, bacteria and eukarya as well as chloroplasts and mitochondria. The record is from RNAcentral. Lineage: Bacteria; Bacillati; Mycoplasmatota; Mollicutes; Acholeplasmatales; Acholeplasmataceae.
AAUAGAAGGUAACCGAGCCACAAAGGUGGUUAGGAAAGUCCAUGCUAGCACACGCUGUGACGCGUGUAGUGUUUGUGCUUAGGGAAACAGUAACCUAAGGUACCUCUUGUAAGGUAACGGCGGCUCUUACACUAAAGUAUUUACGAUGUGUAAUCCUGAAGGUGCCACAGAGACGAGUUAAAAGGAAACUUUUAAGUGAAACGGGUAAACCCCACAAGCUAGAAACCCAAAUUAUGGUAGGGGCGCUUUAAAGGGAUAAAAAGAAUCCACGGAAAAGCUAGAUACGAAUCUAGAGAUAAAUGGUUACACCUCAUCAAUUGAGAGACAGAACAUGGCUUAUGCAU